RNAcentral lists this ribosomal RNA (51 nucleotides) under Fusicladium proteae. Its description in RNAcentral is "partial 28S ribosomal RNA". The record is from RNAcentral. Lineage: Eukaryota; Fungi; Ascomycota; Dothideomycetes; Venturiales; Sympoventuriaceae.
UUGGCCUCGGAUCAGGUGGGGAUACCCGCUGAACUUAAGCAUAUCAAUAAG